UAAUAAUAUAUUUAUGCUUACAAUAGAAAUUUAUUUUAGGGAUGGGUAUGGAUUGGGUUAAAUGAGAUUUGUAAAAACCCAAACUAACUCACUAUCGAUUGGAUUUUGAAAAUAUCAACCCAAUAUAACGAAAUAAAUAUGUCCAACCCAACCCACAAUCCAGCCCUUAGAUCAUUGGGUGGGAUUGGGUUAGAUUGAUCGAGUUGACUAAGAUUAAAAAUUUUAAAAAUUUAAACAUAAAAGUUAAAAAAAAUAUUUGGUAUUUAAAGUCAAAUUCAGAUAAUAGAAAAGCACAUUGAUUAUCCAUCAUAAUAUUAAAUAUCAUUAAUUGUUCCCAACAUCUAUCAAUAAACAAUAUGACGAUAUUACAAAAAUUUGGGUUUGAUUUAUGAAAUUUGCAUCGAGAUAAUUCAAUCAAUGUCGGAUUUAAAAGCGAGCAAUUGAAAAAAAGUCUUUUUAUGAAAGAAUAAAAAUGGUUCAAAAUUAAAUUUAGCUAUUCAAGGUUUAACAAUUGACGGCUGGCAUAAUUUUUCUAUGAUUUUUUAUUUUUUUUGGGUUGAGUUGGGUUAUAUGAGUUCAUUAAGAGAGCCAUUAAGAUGAACCCAAUCCAACCUCAUCAUUACCCACCCCUAGUUUAUUUAAAGUCAAUUUUUUUAUUGUUAUAAUCUAAGGGUAUAAUUAUUUUAAAAAAAAGUUUGUGUGACUAUUCAUGAGAUUAAAAGGAUUUAUGUAAUCAUUUAAUAAACGCUAAGGGUGUAUAUGCCUUUUCCCAUGAUAAAUAAAUAAGUGAAUAAGAGUGUAGCACAUAAAAUAGGACAACAUGAAAAAUGUUUAGAACAUAACAAGGACAGAGCCUUACCAAAAACCAUGAACCGGUAUCGGUUUGCAGUGGUAGACCUAGGGCUAUCCCAACAAAUUUUUAUUGAUAUCUGAUGAGCAUAUAAUAUAUACAUAUUUUAUCCUUAAUUACAUAAUUGCUAGUUAUUUUUAUUUGUUAUUUUUAAUUAAUUGAAUUGUUUUAUUGAAUAGGAAAUUAAUUAGAGAUUAUGGAUAAAAAGUGGCAUGAGAAAAUUCAAUUUGCGAGCAUUAAAGAUUGAUUGAUUUGGAAGCAAUUAGACAUACAUGUAUGUGGAAGAGAAGACGAGGAAACCGAAGCUAGUAAAUUAAUUGAUCCAGCACGUGAAGAAGAAAUUAACCACAAAAUAAAUGGCUUUAGCUUAAUUGGAGUGCACGUUCAUGGCAUUGCAAUAUAUGGAAAGCAAUUUAAAGGGACCUGCACUUGGCUUUCAAAAGUGGAAAUUAAUGGCUUAUGGGGGCGUUAAUUUAGAGGAUUUGUUUUAUAAUUGAAAAAUGAUUUCAAUUAGAAUUCAAAAAGGAUUUCUUUAGAAUUGUUGGAGGAUUCGGUGGUCAAGCACUAUAAAAGCCGAACUUUGGGUUUUGGAAGGAGAGCGGCCAAAGUAGAGAGAAAGAGGGAGUAUUCGGCUUUGAAGAGGAGAGGCAGCAGCAACAACAGUUCGGAUUCCCCAUGGCUGGUUUUAUUUUAUUUGUUGCUCCCAAUUCAAGUAUGUAUAGCUAAUUUUCUUAUACUGAGGUUAAGGAUGAAACCCUAUUCAAUGAAAUAAUUAUAUUUUUAUUUAAUUAAUUCCCUACAUGUGUGCUUUAAUGUUUAUGGUUCUUGUUUCGCAUGAUUAGUUGGAUGUUAUUAAAUCUUUUCACCAAUUAUGUCAUGUAUUAUUGAUUGUUAGGAUUAAUAUUCAACUAAAUAUAUGCUUGGAUCUAUAAAGUUUAUAUAUGAAUAUUUUUUAUUCUGUGUCUUUCAUUAAAUUGUUUACAUAGAGUACGUAGGAAAACUUUGACUUUUUGUUUUUCAAUAUGUUCACAUACAAUUCUUAGAUAUCAUAUUAUUAAGGAGAAAAAGAGCCUACUCAAGAUUAAUUUUAUUUGGGCUUAAUUGUUAUAUUUAUGAGAUGACAUAGAUUGAUUUCGAGUUGUCACUCUAAAAUUGAGGAUUGAUUAAUAAUUAAAUAAUUACCAGUUGAAUAGUGGUGAAUUUUGAAACCUUGGUAACUUUUGUCUUAUUGAAUUGUUUUCUUAGUUUAAUUAGUUUAAUUUCUCUUAAAACUCAAUUUGUACAACUAAGUUAGAAUUAAUAUUAAUUUUAGAUUUAAAUUACUUUUCAAUUUAUAACAAUCCUUGUGGGUUCGACCUCGUUACCACUAUUCUAUUUCUAGAUUCGUGCACUUGUGAGUAUAUUAAAAUUUUUCACAACAAUA
RNAcentral lists this long non-coding RNA (2273 nucleotides) under Citrus x clementina. RNAcentral's name for it is "Citrus clementina (C. clementina) long non-coding RNA (CCLE_LNC000953)". Lineage: Eukaryota; Viridiplantae; Streptophyta; Magnoliopsida; Sapindales; Rutaceae. The record is from RNAcentral.